RNAcentral lists this transfer RNA (75 nucleotides) under Simiduia agarivorans. Its description in RNAcentral is "tRNA-Asn". It matches the Rfam family "tRNA". Rfam says of the family: Transfer RNA (tRNA) molecules are approximately 80 nucleotides in length. Their secondary structure includes four short double-helical elements and three loops (D, anti-codon, and T loops). RNAcentral also lists the same sequence under 6 other names. Lineage: Bacteria; Pseudomonadati; Pseudomonadota; Gammaproteobacteria; Cellvibrionales; Cellvibrionaceae. The record is from RNAcentral.
UCCGGUGUAGCUCAGCGGUAGAGCAGCGGACUGUUAAUCCGUUGGUCGCUGGUUCGAUCCCAGCCACCGGAGCCA